UCAGAGCAGCAUGUUAGGGAGAUGGAGUUAUCUCAGUUAUAUGCAGACUGGACAGAGAAACUUCAGACACUGAGAUGGACUAAAAGGAUACUUCCCUUUUUCAGAUUGUUUAGGUCACUCUGUGGAUACAAGAUGGAGCUCCCACCAUGCAAAAUUUGAUUUGGAUGUCUAGACUGAUGAUGCCACACACACACUCUAAGAAGGUCAGAUACAAGAAAGUCCCUGCCCUUGCCUUGGUGGAGACCAGAUGGGGUUACUUCAUCCAGAUAGAAUGGCUUCUUGGCAUCUGGUUGUUGACUUCCUUGGCUUCCACUUGCUGCCAGGUUCGUGGUCCAUGUAACCUGGCUUUUGUCUCACACCUUGGGUCUUUAAUAUGAAGACCCUGCUGCUUAAGCCAGGAAAAAUUGUUUUGCCUUUUGCCUCCCCGCCCCCCUCAACUGUAUCAGCUGAACUGAGGAUAGGAAGUCUUUAAUAUGAAGAAAAAAGUAAUUUGAUAUAGUACUGCCAAUUCAAGGCCAUAGUAUGUCACAAUACAGUCAUUCCUUAUCCUAUUGGAUUUGAUGCCUUUUUAAAAAAUCAAGUUACUUAUAGUUGUAAUAUAAUUAUAUGAAUGUUGAUUGAGUAUAACACAAAUUAAUUAAAAGUAAUAGAACUAAAAAAGCUAGAUUGAGAAGGAAAAGGUUGAAACAAAAACUUCUGAAAGUCUUUUGAGUCUUUCUAAAUGUACUAUUUCAUCUUCUUGUUCUAACAUAGGAAAAUUGCCUGAGUCACAAUACAAAAACAAAAUCAAAUCUUCACUUUUAAACAAAACAUUAUAUUCUCCUUUACCCAUUCAAAUUCUAUAGAAAUAAAGCAUAAAAAAUAAAGUAAAAUAAUUGUACCUUAUUCUUUUCAGUGGGUUAAAAUGCACUAUGGAAUUUUAUUAUAGGUACUAUUAAUUUGCUUAACGAAGCAUUUCUUCCCACAUAGUGAAAUACAAACUUUAGUGUAGACCAUAUUAAAUAAUGCAAAAUAAUCCUAAAUUUUUGGAAAGUUUGGAAAGUUAUAUGAUCGAUUAUUCUAAUUCUUUAAUCUGUGUUUCUGGUUCAAACUCUCCUUUUCUAAUUUUCUGGGUAACUUUCAGCUA
This 1126-nucleotide long non-coding RNA is filed under the name Zalophus californianus (California sea lion). Its description in RNAcentral is "lncRNA (ENSZCAG00015009798.1)". The record is from RNAcentral. Lineage: Eukaryota; Metazoa; Chordata; Mammalia; Carnivora; Otariidae.